This is a non-coding RNA of Equus caballus (horse), 2079 nucleotides long. The record is from RefSeq and is a predicted model, not a curated record. NCBI's taxonomy places the organism in Eukaryota, Metazoa, Chordata, Mammalia, Perissodactyla, Equidae.
AGGAAGGGAAAAAUUAUGAGAUAAUUGCAGAAGUUUAAACAUCAAAUAUUUUAUCAUAUCGAGGAAGUGUUAAUUUUUAGUGUGAUAACGUUAAUAUGGCUAUGUUUUUUAAAGAUCCCUGAUAUUUUUAGUAAUGCAACUUAAAUAUUUACAGAUGAAAUGAUUUGAUGCCUAGGAUUUGCUUCAAAAUACUGCAGGUUUGGAAAGGAGGGUAGAGAUGAAACAAGAUUGGCCAGGAAAUAAUCGCUGAAGCUGCGGGAUGAGUAUAUGCUGAUUCAUUAUAUCAUUAACUUACCUUUUGCACAUAUUUGACAUUUUCCAGAAAAUGAAAAAGUCCUUGCUCUCCAGAAGCUUCUGACAAAAGGAGUCAGAUAUUCCAACAAAUAGAAGACUAUGUAGUUAAACAAAAUAAGCACAAAGUGCUGCUCAAGCUCCAAGCACAGUGACUGCCCCAGGGAAGGCGAGAGUCAGAGAAGAUGUCACAGGAGCCUCCCUCCAUGGCCAGCGUCUUUAAGGAAGAGUGUCCCCAGCACGAGGGCAGCCCAGCGGUACCAAGUCACGCAGAUGCGCAGCGGCAGAGCUCCCGCACACUCUCCGGAUGACUUACAAGAGGCCAUGUUACCUGAGAGCACCUGUUCCAGAGCCAGACCACCUGCGCUGGAGUUCCUGCUCCUGAAUCCCCACCGUGACACUUCGGGCAAGCUAUUUGUAAUGUCUCUGGGCCUCAGAUUCUUUGCCUAGAAAAUGCAGAUUAUAACAAUACCUACUCCACAGGGUGUUGUCAGGAGUCAAUGAGUUAACCUGGAUAUAAAACACCCAGAAGACAGCGGAGCAGAGACUCAGAGAGGAAGAGAAUAUGAGGAUCCAGAGCCCAAGAAUUGAGAAAAUGCAAGAGCACAGACAGCUAGACUCUAAAGAUGAAGUCGGAAGGUCAGGACAUAGGAACAGUUUGAUGUGACCAGGAGUUUAAGCAGAAUGGGAAGAUCAGGAAAAAAACAGGAGUGUAUCUGGUGGCAGAGAUAUGUGGAGAAGAGCCAAAGGGAAGGGUACUUUUCUAGGCUCCAGAAAUUGAACAAUGAAACAAGGAGAACCUGCCUACAAGAUGUUUACAGCACAUUCACCAGGCAUUCUCAGGAGAGCAUGGACACCUGGAGGGAAGAUCUAUCCUAUCAUAUGCUAGGUGCUAAGUACUUUAAGUUGGAGCAGCUUCACUGCAGACUUGACUUUUCAACACCUUCUCAAACAGGAAGCCUCUAAUACCUCAUUAAAAUCUGCUCUCAUACCCGGUCUUUUCUCCAUUUACGGCCGCACAUGACAUAAAACUACUGAUUUUCUCAUCAUCUUUAAAACAGUCUCUAUUCUUCUAAAACGGGCCUUUUAAAAUCAUAAGUAUUUGCUAACUUACAAAGAUCCAAGGCAAACAUGCAAAUAGUGCUUCCUUCUCUCUUCUUGUAUCAGCAGUAGAAUCUCCAUUGCUACCUCAGCGGGAGUGCUUAUUUGAUGUUGUUUUUAGAGCAGCUGUGGUUUCAGAGGUGGAAAGGGGAAGAAUGCGUCAAGGCAGUAAGUGCAUAGGAGAUGCUGACCCUAAGACUGACUCCCAAGAAGGCGAUCCUGCCUGACCUUUGGGUAAUUACUCAGAGAUAGCACCCCCACUCUGCCUAAAAUUCUCACCCCACUUUAUUAAAUUACUUGAUAUUUCAUCCAAUUCAUUUAGCAAAUGAUUUGGAGAACGUUAGAGAACUUUCAACAGUACAUGAAUCACUCGAACAGUCCGACUGCUUUUCCCCACCUCCAAUCUACCACACUGAGUUGGGAGCUUUGAUGGAGUGCGGUUGGGAAGAGGACUCAAAAGCAAAGAAAAUUUGGGCCUAGGUCAGGGAUUACAGUGGAGGGCUAAUGGAAGCAUCAAAGCCCUUUGUGCCUGAAAUCUUGGAAAAAGGAGAAGAGCACAGAUGAAAAGCUAUUGAAGGUAAGCACCAUUUUUAAAGUGUGCCCCAUGUUAAUCCAGCGCCAAGAAAGGUAGACAAAAUUCUUUCCUUUUCUCUAGAAUAUUUCUAAAAUCCAGACCCUAAGUGUAUU